This 1428-nucleotide ribosomal RNA is filed under the name uncultured organism. RNAcentral's name for it is "16S ribosomal RNA". It matches the Rfam family "Bacterial small subunit ribosomal RNA". The record is from RNAcentral.
CAGGCUUAACACAUGCAAGUCGAGGGUCAGCAUUUCAGUUUGCUUGCAAACUGGAGAUGGCGACCGGCGCACGGGUGAGUAACACGUAUCCAACCUGCCGAUAACUCGGGGAUAGCCUUUCGAAAGAAAGAUUAAUACCCGAUGGUAUAAUCAGACCGCAUGGUCUUGUUAUUAAAGAAUUUCGGUUAUCGAUGGGGAUGCGUUCCAUUAGGCAGUUGGUGAGGUAACGGCUCACCAAACCUUCGAUGGAUAGGGGUUCUGAGAGGAAGGUCCCCCACAUUGGAACUGAGACACGGUCCAAACUCCUACGGGAGGCAGCAGUGAGGAAUAUUGGUCAAUGGGCGCAGGCCUGAACCAGCCAAGUAGCGUGAAGGAUGACUGCCCUAUGGGUUGUAAACUUCUUUUAUAUGGGAAUAAAGUUUUCCACGUGUGGAAUUUUGUAUGUACCAUAUGAAUAAGGAUCGGCUAACUCCGUGCCAGCAGCCGCGGUAAUACGGAGGAUCCGAGCGUUAUCCGGAUUUAUUGGGUUUAAAGGGAGCGUAGGUGGACAGUUAAGUCAGUUGUGAAAGUUUGCGGCUCAACCGUAAAAUUGCAGUUGAUACUGGCUGUCUUGAGUACAGUAGAGGUGGGCGGAAUUCGUGGUGUAGCGGUGAAAUGCUUAGAUAUCACGAAGAACUCCGAUUGCGAAGGCAGCUCACUGGACUGCAACUGACACUGAUGCUCGAAAGUGUGGGUAUCAAACAGGAUUAGAUACCCUGGUAGUCCACACAGUAAACGAUGAAUACUCGCUGUUUGCGAUAUACAGUAAGCGGCCAAGCGAAAGCAUUAAGUAUUCCACCUGGGGAGUACGCCGGCAACGGUGAAGCUCAAAGGAAUUGACGGGGGCCCGCACAAGCGGAGGAACAUGUGGUUUAAUUCGAUGAUACGCGAGGAACCUUACCCGGGCUUAAAUUGCAUUUGAAUAUAUUGGAAACAGUAUAGCCGUAAGGCAAAUGUGAAGGUGCUGCAUGGUUGUCGUCAGCUCGUGCCGUGAGGUGUCGGCUUAAGUGCCAUAACGAGCGCAACCCUUAUCUUUAGUUACUAACAGGUCAUGCUGAGGACUCUAGAGAGACUGCCGUCGUAAGAUGUGAGGAAGGUGGGGAUGACGUCAAAUCAGCACGGCCCUUACGUCCGGGGCUACACACGUGCUACAAUGGGGGGUACAGAAGGCAGCUACCUGGUGACAGGAUGCUAAUCCCAAAAGCCUCUCUCAGUUCGGAUCGAAGUCUGCAACCCGACUUCGUGAAGCUGGAUUCGCUAGUAAUCGCGCAUCAGCCAUGGCGCGGUGAAUACGUUCCCGGGCCUUGUACACACCGCCCGUCAAGCCAUGAAAGCCGGGGGUACCUGAAGUACGUAACCGCAAGGAGCGUCCUAGGGUAAAACUGGUAA